This 241-nucleotide long non-coding RNA is filed under the name Elaeis guineensis (African oil palm). RNAcentral describes it as "long non-coding RNA (EGUI_LNC048987)". The record is from RNAcentral. Lineage: Eukaryota; Viridiplantae; Streptophyta; Magnoliopsida; Arecales; Arecaceae.
AUCACAUCGGAAAUAGGGGAAGAACCUCAUCCUGACACCAAUAAAGGUUCGGCCAUUCGAGACCCGACAAGAAAGAAGAAAACCUUCUCGGCGGCCCUUCUAUGCUACUGCGACUUCGUAAAAAGCUAGGGAGAACUCUUGCCUAAAAGAAGGAGGGAAAUGUGAACGAACAGCGAUGGGAUACCCCAACAAAAAAUGGAGGCCAAACUACACUAAAAGCACAAAGGACCUCAUCUCCAUG